RNAcentral lists this ribosomal RNA (393 nucleotides) under uncultured bacterium. RNAcentral describes it as "partial 16S ribosomal RNA". It matches the Rfam family "Bacterial small subunit ribosomal RNA", at positions 523 to 918 of the family's 1533-position model. The record is from RNAcentral.
AUACGGAGGAUGCGAGCGUUAUCCGGAUUUAUUGGGUUUAAAGGGUGCGUAGGCGGACGAUUAAGUCAGCUGUGAAAUGCCCGCGCUUAACGCGGGAAGUGCAGUUGAUACUGGUUGUCUGGAGUGCCGUUGCCGUGGGAGGAAUGUGUAGUGUAGCGGUGAAAUGCUUAGAGAUUACACAGAACACCGAUUGCGAAGGCAUCUCACGAAGGGUUGAUUGACGCUGAGGCACGAAAGCGUGGGGAUCAAACAGGAUUAGAUACCCUGGUAGUCCACGCAGUAAACGAUGAUGGCUAACCGCUGGGCUUAUCAGUUCAGUGGCCAAGCGAAAGCGAUAAGCCAUCCACCUGGGGAGUACGACCGCAAGGUUGAAACUCAAAUGAAUUGACGGGG